This 293-nucleotide ribosomal RNA is filed under the name uncultured bacterium. Its description in RNAcentral is "partial 16S ribosomal RNA". The record is from RNAcentral.
GGACUACUGGGGUAUCUAAUCCCGUUCGAUUCCCACGCUUUCGUGUAUGAGCGUCAGGAGCGCGCCAGUAGAGUGCCUUCGCAUUUGGUGUUCCCCAUGAUAUCAACGGAUUUCACCCCUACACCAUGAGUUCCCUCUACCUCUCGCGUCCUCAAGCUCUGCCGUUUCGCUCGCAUUACCGGGGUUAAGCCCCGAUGCUUUUACGAGCGACUAACAAAGCCGCCUGCACACCCUUUACGCCCAGUGAUUCCGGAUAAUGCUUGGGGCCUCUGUAUUACCGCGGCUGCUGGCAC